AUACGGAGGACGCGAGCGUUAUCCGGAUUCAUUGGGUUUAAAGGGUGCGCAGGCGGCCGUGCAAGUCAGCGGUGAAAGCCCGGGGCUCAACCCCGGAAGUGCCGUUGAUACUGCAUGGCUGGAAUGCGGUCGAGGCGGGCGGAACGGGGCGUGUAGCGGGGAAAUGCGUAGAUAUGCCACAGAACGCCGAUAGCGGAGGCAGCUCGCCAGGCCUGCAUUGACGCUCGGGCACGAAAGCGUGGGGAUCGAACAGGAUUAGAUACCCUGGUAGUCCACGUCGUAAACGAUGGGCGCUCGUCGUCGGCGGCAGACAGUCGGCGGCCAAGCGAAAGCGAUAAGCGCCCCACCUGGGGAGUACGGUCGCAAGGCUGAAACUCAAAUGAAUUGACGGGG
RNAcentral lists this ribosomal RNA (393 nucleotides) under uncultured bacterium. RNAcentral's name for it is "partial 16S ribosomal RNA". It matches the Rfam family "Bacterial small subunit ribosomal RNA", at positions 523 to 918 of the family's 1533-position model. The record is from RNAcentral.